GGGUAGAUGGCUGAGUGGUUAAAGCGGUAGACUGUAAAUCUAUUGGGAAACCAUCGUUGGUUCGAAUCCAACUCUACUC
RNAcentral lists this transfer RNA (79 nucleotides) under Gruberia lanceolata. RNAcentral describes it as "tRNA-Tyr". It matches the Rfam family "tRNA". From Rfam's summary of the family: Transfer RNA (tRNA) molecules are approximately 80 nucleotides in length. Their secondary structure includes four short double-helical elements and three loops (D, anti-codon, and T loops). Lineage: Eukaryota; Ciliophora; Heterotrichea; Heterotrichida; Spirostomidae. The record is from RNAcentral.